UUUUAACUUUCGGGUGCAGUA
This 21-nucleotide non-coding RNA is filed under the name Arabidopsis thaliana (thale cress). Lineage: Eukaryota; Viridiplantae; Streptophyta; Magnoliopsida; Brassicales; Brassicaceae. The record is from RNAcentral.